Molecule: ribosomal RNA, 465 nt
Filed under: Vreelandella stevensii
Lineage: Bacteria; Pseudomonadati; Pseudomonadota; Gammaproteobacteria; Oceanospirillales; Halomonadaceae
Description: partial 16S ribosomal RNA
Rfam family: Bacterial small subunit ribosomal RNA
Source: RNAcentral
CCUACGGGGGGCAGCAGUGGGGAAUAUUGGACAAUGGGGGGAACCCUGAUCCAGCCAUGCCGCGUGUGUGAAGAAGGCCCUCGGGUUGUAAAGCACUUUCAGUGAGGAAGAACGCCUGGUGGUUAAUACCCAUCAGGAAAGACAUCACUCACAGAAGAAGCACCGGCUAACUCCGUGCCAGCAGCCGCGGUAAUACGGAGGGUGCGAGCGUUAAUCGGAAUUACUGGGCGUAAAGCGCGCGUAGGUGGCUUGAUAAGCCGGUUGUGAAAGCCCCGGGCUCAACCUGGGAACGGCAUCCGGAACUGUCAAGCUAGAGUGACGGAGAGGAAGGUAGAAUUCCCGGUGUAGCGGUGAAAUGCGUAGAGAUCGGGAGGAAUACCAGUGGCGAAGGCGGCCUUCUGGACUGACACUGACACUGAGGUGCGAAAGCGUGGGUAGCAAACAGGAUUAGAUACCCGUGUAGUA